RNAcentral lists this ribosomal RNA (465 nucleotides) under uncultured bacterium. RNAcentral's name for it is "partial 16S ribosomal RNA". It matches the Rfam family "Bacterial small subunit ribosomal RNA", at positions 28 to 507 of the family's 1533-position model. The record is from RNAcentral.
GAUGAACGCUGGCGGCGUGCUUAACACAUGCAAGUCGAACGGAAAGGCUCCUGCUUGCAGGGGUACUCGAGUGGCGAACGGGUGAGUAACACGUGGGUGAUCUGCCCUGCACUUCGGGAUAAGCCUGGGAAACUGGGUCUAAUACCGGAUAGGACGAUGGUUUGGAUGCCAUUGUGGAAAGUUUUUCGGUGUGGGAUGAGCUCGCGGCCUAUCAGCUUGUUGGUGGGGUAAUGGCCUACCAAGGCGUCGACGGGUAGCCGGCCUGAGAGGGUGUACGGCCACAUUGGGACUGAGCUACGGCCCAGACUCCUACGGGAGGCAGCAGUGGGGAAUAUUGCACAAUGGGCGCAAGCCUGAUGCAGCGACGCCGCGUGGGGGAUGACGGCCUUCGGGUUGUAAACUCCUUUCGCUAGGGACGAAGUGCAAGUGACGGUACCUGGAGAAGAAGCACCGGCUAACUACGUG